CCCCAGACUUUACCGUGAAAAAAUUAGAGUGUUCAAAGCAGGCAGAUCCAAUUUUCUGCCACCGAAUACAUUAGCAUGGGAUAAUGGAAUAGGACCCUGUCCUCCUAUUUUCAGUUGGUUUUGGCAGCGCGAGGACUAGGGUAAUGAUUAAUAGGGAUAGUUGGGGGCAUUAAUAUUUAAUUGUCAGAGGUGAAAUUCUUGGAUUUAUGAAAGAUUAACUUCUGCGAAAGCAUCUGCCAAGGAUGUUUUCAUUAAUCAAGAACGAAAGUUAGGGGAUCGAAGACGAUCAGAUACCGUCGUAGUCUUAACCAUAAACGAUGCCGACCAGCGAUUAGGAGACGUUGAAUACAAAACACCACCAUCGGUUGCGGUCGUCCUUGGCGUCUCGGUUUCGGCCGG
Molecule: ribosomal RNA, 399 nt
Filed under: Acanthamoeba sp. AC.AN.003/Thailand/T4
Lineage: Eukaryota; Discosea; Longamoebia; Acanthamoebidae
Description: SSU rRNA
Rfam family: Eukaryotic small subunit ribosomal RNA
Source: RNAcentral